Molecule: ribosomal RNA, 1213 nt
Filed under: Bacillus sp. (in: firmicutes)
Lineage: Bacteria; Bacillati; Bacillota; Bacilli; Caryophanales; Bacillaceae
Description: bacterial SSU rRNA
Rfam family: Bacterial small subunit ribosomal RNA
Source: RNAcentral
UGGGUAACCUGCCUGUAAGACUGGGAUAACUCCGGGAAACCGGGGCUAAUACCGGAUGGUUGUCUGAACCGCAUGGUUCAGACAUAAAAGGUGGCUUCGGCUACCACUUACAGAUGGACCCGCGGCGCAUUAGCUAGUUGGUGAGGUAACGGCUCACCAAGGCGACGAUGCGUAGCCGACCUGAGAGGGUGAUCGGCCACACUGGGACUGAGACACGGCCCAGACUCCUACGGGAGGCAGCAGUAGGGAAUCUUCCGCAAUGGACGAAAGUCUGACGGAGCAACGCCGCGUGAGUGAUGAAGGUUUUCGGAUCGUAAAGCUCUGUUGUUAGGGAAGAACAAGUGCCGUUCAAAUAGGGCGGCACCUUGACGGUACCUAACCAGAAAGCCACGGCUAACUACGUGCCAGCAGCCGCGGUAAUACGUAGGUGGCAAGCGUUGUCCGGAAUUAUUGGGCGUAAAGGGCUCGCAGGCGGUUUCUUAAGUCUGAUGUGAAAGCCCCCGGCUCAACCGGGGAGGGUCAUUGGAAACUGGGGAACUUGAGUGCAGAAGAGGAGAGUGGAAUUCCACGUGUAGCGGUGAAAUGCGUAGAGAUGUGGAGGAACACCAGUGGCGAAGGCGACUCUCUGGUCUGUAACUGACGCUGAGGAGCGAAAGCGUGGGGAGCGAACAGGAUUAGAUACCCUGGUAGUCCACGCCGUAAACGAUGAGUGCUAAGUGUUAGGGGGUUUCCGCCCCUUAGUGCUGCAGCUAACGCAUUAAGCACUCCGCCUGGGGAGUACGGUCGCAAGACUGAAACUCAAAGGAAUUGACGGGGGCCCGCACAAGCGGUGGAGCAUGUGGUUUAAUUCGAAGCAACGCGAAGAACCUUACCAGGUCUUGACAUCCUCUGACAAUCCUAGAGAUAGGACGUCCCCUUCGGGGGCAGAGUGACAGGUGGUGCAUGGUUGUCGUCAGCUCGUGUCGUGAGAUGUUGGGUUAAGUCCCGCAACGAGCGCAACCCUUGAUCUUAGUUGCCAGCAUUCAGUUGGGCACUCUAAGGUGACUGCCGGUGACAAACCGGAGGAAGGUGGGGAUGACGUCAAAUCAUCAUGCCCCUUAUGACCUGGGCUACACACGUGCUACAAUGGACAGAACAAAGGGCAGCGAAACCGCGAGGUUAAGCCAAUCCCACAAAUCUGUUCUCAGUUCGGAUCGCAGUCUGCAACUCGACU